GAUGCUGACUCCUACGUCCAUCUCAACCUGGGCAUCGUGCCACCACCUUCAAGAAGAGAAAAACUAAGUAGUGCUUUGCAAAGGGCAGCAGCAUUUCUCAUUUCUGACCAUGUCAGGCACACGGCCAUGCAGAUGAGCAGGUGGGGGACACAGGGAGGCUGUGAACACCCUAUCUCACCGACCUCAGAAGGACAGUACAGCAGUAGCCACCAUGACCAAAAAGAUGAUUCCAGAAGUGCAGGACAACUCCCUACCCAGAGGCUGUGGCUGUGCAGUUACACACCAAGAGGGGAGUCCAGCUGGCUCUCAGGGUGCUCACUACCCUCAUCUGGGGGCCUGGAGGACAUCAAUUCCUGAGAACGCCACGUUCUACUACUACUGUUGGCUGGCUGGAAAAAAUAGAACAAUAGUAAAAAUUAGAGACCAGUCUUUGGUGAUGAAGAGAAAUAUUGGCUACUUCCAGUAUUUUCUAGCUUUGGUUAUGGUUGCAGUUUUCCAGCUCACCUUGUGGGGAUGAAUUCAGGAAAAACUUCAGUUACAAAUUGAAAUGAACAUGCCAGAAGUAUUGGCUCAAAUCAACCUUGUCCUAUUAAGCCACUUAGUGAAUCAAAAGACCGCUUGUUGGACUGUUAAUCUCGGUGGCCAGAGAAAGGAGCUGAGCUGAAGAAGGUGUUGUCAGAUCAGGAACAAAUAAUUACAGCGGCAAUAGAAAAUGGAAGGCCACUUGUUCAUAACCAUUUGAAUAAGGGCAAGGUAUAUGGAAACACAUUAUGAACUGAUAUUUUCAGUUUUGUUUGCAAGAAAAUGAUUAAUGGGGUGAAAUAAUUGAAGUAUCACGGAAGAUACAUUAAAAAAAAAAAGACCUUUGUACAGUUUGCUGGAGUCACAGAAGCCCUACUCCAGAGCAGAACAAUGCCUGAAUCUUCAGGGUCCAUUUGUGCCGCAUUCACUAGCAACCACAAACGUGACUUAAUUUUACUUUGGAAAUAAUGCUUACCUAUCGUGAGAUGCUGUAAUAUGAACCAUCAUUACAUGUUAACAUGGCACAUGGAAUUUUGAGUGUCUAAGUUACAUUUUUAGAGUUGUUUCUUAGUAGCCAUGUGAGUUUCCACUCCAAAAACACAAGCUAAAAACUUGUUUUGAGUGAAGGACAUCUAGGGCAAAUGGUGACUGAAAGUGAAUGAGAUCCCAAUUACUCUUUCUUGUACCGUAUAAGGAAAAGAAAAUAGAUGCUUUUCUUGUUGGGUGUUUGCUAAUUUAUAAUUACUGUUUUAUGCUUUUCAACAUUUUUAAUAAAGUUUUUAUUGUUGGCUAUAAACGUUUUAAAAGGAUUCUCUUCCUCUAGAAUCACUCUAAGUACCAAAAUCUGUAUUAUUCUGGAUUCAUCAGAGAAACAGAACCAAUAAGGUGUGUGUGUGUGUGUGUGUGUGUGUGUGUGUGUUUUAUUCGUGUUAUGAAACUGACUCAUGCAAUUAUUAUGGUGGCAAGUGUGAAAUCUGUAGGAUACGCCAGCAGGCUGAAAAUGCAGACAGAAGUUGAUAUGGUAGUCUUAAGACAGAAUUUCUUCUUUUCUGGGAAACUGUAGUUUCUGCUCUUAAAGCCUUCUAC
RNAcentral lists this long non-coding RNA (1608 nucleotides) under Pan paniscus (pygmy chimpanzee). RNAcentral describes it as "lncRNA (ENSPPAG00000044556.1)". The record is from RNAcentral. Lineage: Eukaryota; Metazoa; Chordata; Mammalia; Primates; Hominidae.